RNAcentral lists this unclassified non-coding RNA (329 nucleotides) under soil metagenome. Its description in RNAcentral is "partial contains 5.8S ribosomal RNA, internal transcribed spacer 2, and large subunit ribosomal RNA". The stretch from base 1 to 119 matches the Rfam family "5.8S ribosomal RNA", at positions 36 to 154 of the family's 154-position model. The record is from RNAcentral.
AUGAAGAACGCAGCGAAAUGCGAUAAGUAAUGUGAAUUGCAGAAUUCAGUGAAUCAUCGAAUCUUUGAACGCACAUUGCGCCCCCUGGUAUUCCGGGGGGCAUGCCUGUUCGAGCGUCAUUUCACCACUCAAGCCUCGCUUGGUAUUGGGCAACGCGGUCCGCCGCGUGCCUCAAAUCGACCGGCUGGGUCUUCUGUCCCCUAAGCGUUGUGGAAACUUUCGCUAAAGGGUGUUCGGGAGGCUACGCCGUAAAACAACCCCAUUUCUAAGGUUGACCUCGGAUCAGGUAGGGAUACCCGCUGAACUUAAGCAUAUCAAUAAGCGGAGGA